AAUCUCACACCCCCCGGUUUUACGACCGGUGCGGGAGGUGGACUUGGGCGUCUGUCUUUUGCUAGACUCGCCUCAAAUGGAUUAGUGGAAUGAAAGCUAAUGGCUGAAGACGUAAUAAGUUUCGUCCCGGCCCGGCUCGAGGUCCGCUCCCAACCCCCCAAUUUCUAUGA
Molecule: unclassified non-coding RNA, 170 nt
Filed under: uncultured Tremellales
Lineage: Eukaryota; Fungi; Basidiomycota; Tremellomycetes; Tremellales
Description: sequence contains ITS2
Source: RNAcentral